RNAcentral lists this ribosomal RNA (253 nucleotides) under uncultured bacterium. RNAcentral describes it as "partial 16S ribosomal RNA". It matches the Rfam family "Bacterial small subunit ribosomal RNA", at positions 524 to 776 of the family's 1533-position model. The record is from RNAcentral.
GACGGAUGCGGCAACCGUUAUCCGGAAUUAUUGGGCGUAAAGGGUACGUAGGCGGCUGGUCAAGCCCGGGGUCAAAGCCCACAGCUCAACUGUGGGAAGGCCCUGGAAACUGGCCGGCUAGAGUGAGGUAGGGGUUGCGGGAAUUCCCGGUGUAGCGGUGAAAUGCGUAGAGAUCGGGAAGAACACCUGCGGCGGAAGCGCGCAACUGGGCCUCAACUGACGCUGAGGUACGAAAGCUAGGGGAGCGAAUGGG